RNAcentral lists this ribosomal RNA (328 nucleotides) under uncultured eukaryote. Its description in RNAcentral is "partial 18S ribosomal RNA". It matches the Rfam family "Eukaryotic small subunit ribosomal RNA", at positions 1470 to 1796 of the family's 1831-position model. The record is from RNAcentral.
CCCUUAGAUGUCCUGGGCCGCACGCGCGUUACACUGAUGCAUUCAACGAGCCUAUAACCUUGGCCGAGAGGCCUGGGCAAUCUUGUUAACGUGCAUCGUGAUAGGGAUAGAUUAUUGAAAUUAUUAAUCUUGAACGAGUAAUUCCUAGUAAACGCAGAUCAUCAAUCUGCAUUGAUUACGUCCCUGCCCUUUGUACACACCGCCCGUCGCACCUACCGAUUGGAUGGUCCGGUGAAGCCUCGGGAUUGUGGUUCUUGCCGCUUUAUUGUGGCGUGACCGCGAGAACUUGUCUAAACCUUAUCAUCUAGAGGAAGGUGAAGUCGUAACA